GGACACGUGGUAUCCUGUCUGAAUAUGGGGGGACCAUCCUCCAAGGCUAAAUACUCCUGACUGACCGAUAGUGAACCAGUACCGUGAGGGAAAGGCGAAAAGAACCCCGGCGAGGGGAGUGAAAAAGAACCUGAAACCGUGUACGUACAAGCAGUGGGAGCCCCACCACUAAGCCAGUGGUGAACUCCACAUACGCAUCCUUUGCUGAGGAUACGGUUAACGGAGCGAAAGCGACGUUCAACCGCAAAASAAGCAGAGGGGGCUUAGUGGUGGGGUGACUGCGUACCUUUUGUAUAAUGGGUCAGCGACUUAUAUUCUGUAGCAAGGUUAACCGAAUAGGGGAGCCGKAGGGAAACCGAGUCUUAAYYGGGCGUUAAGUUGCAGGGUAUAGACCCGAAACCCGGUGAUCUAGCCAUGGGCAGGUUGAAGGUUGGGUAACACUAACUGGAGGACCGAACCGACUAAUGUUGAAAAAUUAGCGGAUGACCUGUGGCUGGGGGUGAAAGGCCAAUCAAACCGGGAGAUAGCUGGUUCUCCCCGAAAGCUAUUUAGGUAGCGCCUCGUGAAUUCAUCUCCGGGGGU
This 582-nucleotide ribosomal RNA is filed under the name Salmonella enterica. RNAcentral describes it as "partial 23S ribosomal RNA". The record is from RNAcentral. Lineage: Bacteria; Pseudomonadati; Pseudomonadota; Gammaproteobacteria; Enterobacterales; Enterobacteriaceae.